RNAcentral lists this ribosomal RNA (484 nucleotides) under uncultured bacterium. RNAcentral's name for it is "partial 16S ribosomal RNA". It matches the Rfam family "Bacterial small subunit ribosomal RNA", at positions 29 to 507 of the family's 1533-position model. The record is from RNAcentral.
AUUGAACGCUGGCGGCAUGCUUUACACAUGCAAGUCGAACGGCAGCGCGGGCUUCGGCCUGGCGGCGAGUGGCGAACGGGUGAGUAAUACAUUGGAACGUGCCCAGUAGUGGGGGAUAGCUCGGCGAAAGCCGGAUUAAUACCGCAUACGACCUGAGGGUGAAAGCGGGGGAUCUUCGGACCUCGCGCUAUUGGAGCGGCCGAUGGCAGAUUAGCUAGUUGGUGGGGUAAAGGCCUACCAAGGCGACGAUCUGUAGCUGGUCUGAGGGGACGACCAGCCACACUGGGACUGAGACACGGCCCAGACUCCUACGGGAGGCAGCAGUGGGGAAUUUUGGACAAUGGGCGAAAGCCUGAUCCAGCAAUGCCGCGUGUGUGAUGAAGGCCUUCGGGUUGUAAAGCACUUUUGGCGGGAACGAAAAGGACUGUGCCAAUACCACGGUUCGAUGACGGUACCCGCAGAAUAAGCACCGGCUAACUACGUG